RNAcentral lists this ribosomal RNA (253 nucleotides) under uncultured bacterium. Its description in RNAcentral is "partial 16S ribosomal RNA". It matches the Rfam family "Bacterial small subunit ribosomal RNA", at positions 524 to 776 of the family's 1533-position model. The record is from RNAcentral.
UACAGAAGCCUCGAGCGUUAGGCGGAAUCACUGGGCUUAAAGCGUGUGUAGGCGGACUUCUAAGUACCUUGUGAAAUCCCACGGCUCACCCGUGGAACUGCUCGGUAUACUGGUCGUCUUGAGCCUUCUAGGGGCGAGUGGAACAAAUGGUGGAGCGGUGAAAUGCGUAGAUAUCAUUUGGAACGCCAAUGGUGAAAACAACCCGCUGGGGAAGUGCUGACGCUGAGACACGAAAGCCAGGGGAGCGAACGGG